RNAcentral lists this ribosomal RNA (497 nucleotides) under uncultured bacterium. Its description in RNAcentral is "partial 16S ribosomal RNA". It matches the Rfam family "Bacterial small subunit ribosomal RNA", at positions 28 to 507 of the family's 1533-position model. The record is from RNAcentral.
GAUGAACGCUGGCGGCGUGCCUAAUACAUGCAAGUCGAGCGAACGGACGAGAAGCUUGCUUCUCUGAUGUUAGCGGCGGACGGGUGAGUAACACGUGGAUAACCUACCUAUAAGACUGGGAUAACUUCGGGAAACCGUAGCUAAUACCGGAUAAUAUUUUGAACCGCAUGGUUCAAAAGUGAAAGACGGUCUUGCUGUCACUUAUAGAUGGAUCCGCGCUGCAUUAGCUAGUUGGUAAGGUAACGGCUUACCAAGGCAACGAUGCAUAGCCGACCUGAGAGGGAGAUCGGCCACACUGGAACUGAGAAACGGUCCACACUCCUAGGGGGAGCAGCAGUAGGGAAUCUUCCGCAAGGGGCGAGAGCCUGACGGAGCAACGCCGCGUGAGGGAUGAAGGUGUUCGGAUCGGAAAGCUCUGUUAUUAGGGAAGAAGAUAUGUGUAAGUAACUGUGCACAUCUUGACGGUACCUAAUCAGAAAGCCACGGCUAACUACGUG